Molecule: ribosomal RNA, 253 nt
Filed under: uncultured bacterium
Lineage: Bacteria
Description: partial 16S ribosomal RNA
Rfam family: Bacterial small subunit ribosomal RNA
Source: RNAcentral
UACGUAGGGUGCAAGCGUUAAUCGGAAUUACUGGGCGUAAAGCGUACGCAGGCGGCUUUGCAAGACAGGUGUGAAAUCCCCGGGCCUAACCUGGGAACUGCAUUUGUGACUGCAUGGCUAGAGUUUGUCAGAGGGGGGUGGAAUUCCACGUGUAGCAGUGAAAUGCGUAGAGAUGUGGAGGAACACCGAUGGCGAAGGCAGCCCCCUGGGACCUGACUGACGCUCAUGUACGAAAGCGUGGGGAGCAAACAGG